RNAcentral lists this ribosomal RNA (490 nucleotides) under Ompok bimaculatus (butter catfish). RNAcentral's name for it is "eukaryotic LSU rRNA". It matches the Rfam family "Eukaryotic large subunit ribosomal RNA", at positions 1494 to 1955 of the family's 3401-position model. Lineage: Eukaryota; Metazoa; Chordata; Actinopteri; Siluriformes; Siluridae. The record is from RNAcentral.
AAGUGGAGAAGGGUUCCAUGUGAACAGCAGUUGAACAUGGGUCAGUCGGUCCUAAGGGAUGGGCGAACGCCGUUCCGAAGGGUGGGGCGAUGGCCUCCGUCGCCCCCGGCCGAUCGAAAGGGAGUCGGGUUCAGAUCCCCGAACCCGGAGUGGCGGAGAUAGGCGCCGCGAGGCGUCCAGUGCGGUAACGCAAACGAACCCGGAGACGGGCGGGGGCCCCGGGAAGAGUUCUCUUCUUUGUGAAGGGCAGCGCCCUGGAAUGGGUUCACCCCGAGAUAGGGGCCCGCGCCCUGGAAAGCGCCGCGGUUCUGGCGGCGUCCGGUAGCCUCGCUGGCCCUUGAAAAUCCGGGGGAGAGGGUGUAAAUCUCGCGCCGGGCCGUACCCAUAUCGCAGCAGGUCUCCAAGGUGAACAGCCUCUGGCAUGUUGGAACAAUGUAGGUAAGGGAAGUCGGCAAGUCAGAUCCGUAACUUCGGGAUAAGGAUUGGCUCU